This 864-nucleotide ribosomal RNA is filed under the name Triticum aestivum (bread wheat). RNAcentral describes it as "partial small subunit ribosomal RNA". Lineage: Eukaryota; Viridiplantae; Streptophyta; Magnoliopsida; Poales; Poaceae. The record is from RNAcentral.
AUGGGCAAUCUGUGCUGCUGUGUUCAAGUCGACCAGUCUACCGUGGCCAUCAGGGAGCAGUUUGGGAAGUUUGACAGUGUGCUUGAGCCAGGAUGCCACUGCCUGCCUUGGAUCUUUGGGAAACGUGUAGUUGGCCAUCUCACACUCAGGUUGCAGCAGCUGGAUGUGCGCUGUGAAACUAAGACAAAGGACAAUGUGUUCGUCACUGUUGUUGCAUCGAUUCAGUACCGACCUCUGGCUGGCAAAGAAAGUGACGCAUACUACAAACUGACCAACACAAGAUCCCAGAUUCAAGCCUAUGUCUUUGAUGUGAUCAGGGCAAGUGUUCCAAAGCUCAACCUGGAUGAUGCUUUCGUGCAGAAGAACGAUAUAGCAAAGGCUGUGGAGGAUGAACUUGAAAAGGCUAUGUCGGCAUAUGGCUUUGAGAUCGUGCAGACCCUCAUUGUCGACAUCGAGCCAGAUGCGCAUGUCAAGCAGGCGAUGAAUGAGAUCAAUGCAGCUGCAAGGAUGAGGGUGGCUGCAAACGAGAAGGCGGAGGCUGAGAAGAUUGUCCAGAUCAAGCGUGCCGAGGGUGAAGCAGAGGCCAAGUACCUGUCUGGCCUCGGUAUCGCCCGCCAGCGCCAGGCCAUUGUGGAUGGCCUGAGGGACAGCGUCCUGGGCUUCUCAGUCAAUGUGCCUGGCACCACUGCAAAGGACGUGAUGGACAUGGUGCUGAUCACCCAGUACUUUGAUACUAUGAAAGAGAUUGGCGCGUCCUCCAAGUCCUCUGCGGUGUUCAUCCCCCAUGGCCCUGGUGCGGUGCGCGACAUCGCCACGCAGAUCCGUGACGGUCUUCUUCAAGGCCAGUCUGCCUCUGACAACUAG